This 529-nucleotide long non-coding RNA is filed under the name Setaria viridis. Its description in RNAcentral is "long non-coding RNA (SVIR_LNC010333)". Lineage: Eukaryota; Viridiplantae; Streptophyta; Magnoliopsida; Poales; Poaceae. The record is from RNAcentral.
AGCCCGGCCCCGUCGCCGGCGGGGCGCCGGCCGUCGAGCCGCACCGCCCCCUGCUGCGCCCUGUUUUUGGCGCGGGGAAGAAGAAGACCUGGCGCUUGGGGCCCAUGCGCCAGGGAGAAAGGAGGGGAAGAGAAGGUGGGCCGGUGGGCCUGCGGGUAGAAUAGGAAGCGGGGAGUAGAGUCGGUCCAGUAGGGCCCAGCGAGAGAGAGAGAGGGUAGAGAGGAUUAGAGUGAUAAAAGUUGGGCCGGGGGUAUUUGGAUAAUCUUAGGUUUUUCCUUUAAUAGAUAAUUAGUGUAAAUUCGGUUUACACCUUUUAAAUCACAGGAAUUUCUAGGAGUGUCCAAAAUUAGUGAAACCAAUUUUGUUAGGAUUAUUUCAUUUUCCUUUAUGCAUUAAAAUUCUUAUACCUUAGGAAAAAUAAUAAAAACUUAGGUAUUUAUUUAAUGCCUUUUCAUUAAGGUAUUUAAAUAAAUGCUUAACCUUUAUUAAAUGCAUAAAAAAUUGAAUAAUGUUUUCAUAUUCACAAAUU